UACGUAGGGGGCAAGCGUUGUCCGGAGUUACUGGGCGUAAAGCGCACGCAGGCGGUCUCUUAAGUUUGGAGUGACAGUUGGUGGCUUAACUGCCAAAGUGCUUCGAAAACUGAGAGACUUGAGGGCUUCAGAGGGACACGGAAUUCCGGGUGGAGUGGUGAAAUGCGUAGAGAUCCGGAGGAACACCAAAGGCGAAGGCAGCGUCCUGGGGAGUACCUGACGCUCAGGUGCGAAAGCCAGGGGAGCGAACGGG
Molecule: ribosomal RNA, 253 nt
Filed under: uncultured bacterium
Lineage: Bacteria
Description: partial 16S ribosomal RNA
Rfam family: Bacterial small subunit ribosomal RNA
Source: RNAcentral